RNAcentral lists this ribosomal RNA (559 nucleotides) under uncultured Novosphingobium sp. Its description in RNAcentral is "bacterial SSU rRNA". It matches the Rfam family "Bacterial small subunit ribosomal RNA", at positions 82 to 677 of the family's 1533-position model. The record is from RNAcentral. Lineage: Bacteria; Pseudomonadati; Pseudomonadota; Alphaproteobacteria; Sphingomonadales; Sphingomonadaceae.
GGCUUCGGCCUUAGUGGCGCACGGGUGCGUAACGCGUGGGAAUCUGCCCAAAGGUUCGGAAUAACUCAGGGAAACUCGAGCUAAUACCGGAUGAUGUCGCAAGACCAAAGAUUUAUCGCCUUUGGAUGAGCCCGCGUAGGACUAGCUUGUUGGUGGGGUAAUGGCCCACCAAUGCGACGAUCCUUAGCUGGUCUGAGAGGAUGAUCAGCCACACUGGGACUGAGACACGGCCCAGACUCCUACGGGAGGCAGCAGUGGGGAAUAUUGGACAAUGGGCGAAAGCCUGAUCCAGCAAUGCCGCGUGAGUGAUGAAGGCCUUAGGGUUGUAAAGCUCUUUUACCCGGGAUGAUAAUGACAGUACCGGGAGAAUAAGCUCCGGCUAACUCCGUGCCAGCAGCCGCGGUAAUACGGAGGGAGCUAGCGUUGUUCGGAAUUACUGGGCGUAAAGCGCACGUAGGCGGCUACUCAAGUCGGGGGUGAAAGCCCGGGGCUCAACCCCGGAACUGCCCUCGAACUAGGUAGCUAGAAUCUUGGAGAGGCGAGUGGAAUUCCGAGUGUU